UGGCAAGCUAGUCUGGGUAGCCCGGCGUUACCUAUAACCUGAAAUCGCCGAUAUGCAGGAGACGAAACCAAGGGGCGAUACUAUGAACAAUUUCAAACCUACAAUUUCAACUGCGAAACUUCGUCCUAUUUGGAUGAUGUUGAUAUGAAGGCUUAUCGGAAGAUUUGUUUUUAUAUCUUAAUUGUGAAAACCGGCCGAGGUCCGGAAGGGAGCAGGCUUAUCGCAUGCACUCAUCGCUUAUAGGGUCGCGAGGUGGAGACGAAAUUGCAGAUUAUUUGAAUUUGGAAUUAAUAUCCACCUGCGGUGUGCUUGCCA
This 315-nucleotide signal recognition particle RNA is filed under the name Methanosarcinaceae archaeon. RNAcentral describes it as "signal recognition particle sRNA". It matches the Rfam family "Archaeal signal recognition particle RNA". Lineage: Archaea; Methanobacteriati; Methanobacteriota; Methanomicrobia; Methanosarcinales; Methanosarcinaceae. The record is from RNAcentral. RNAcentral also lists the same sequence under 1 other name.